AGCGGCAGGCUUAACACAUGCAAGUCGAGGGGUAACAGGGAGCUUGCUCCGCUGACGACCGGCGCACGGGUGCGUAACGCGUAUAGAAUCUGCCUUACACUGAGGGAUAGCCUUUGGAAACGAAGAUUAAUACCUCAUGGUAUCAUUGACUGGCAUCGGUUGAUGAUUAAAGGAUACGGUGUAAGAUGACUAUGCGUCCUAUUAGCUAGAUGGUAAGGUAACGGCUUACCAUGGCUACGAUAGGUAGGGGCCCUGAGAGGGGGAUCCCCCACACUGGUACUGAGACACGGACCAGACUCCUACGGGAGGCAGCAGUGAGGAAUAUUGGACAAUGGAGGCAACUCUGAUCCAGCCAUGCCGCGUGAAGGAUGACUGCCCUAUGGGUUGUAAACUUCUUUUAUACAGGAAGAAACACUCUUACGUGUAAGAGCUUGACGGUACUGUAUGAAUAAGCACCGGCUAACUCCGUGCCAGCAGCCGCGGUAAUACGGAGGGUGCAAGCGUUAUCCGGAAUCAUUGGGUUUAAAGGGUCCGUAGGCGGACUAAUAAGUCAGAGGUGAAAUCCCGCAGCUCAACUGUGGAACUGCCUUUGAAACUGUUAGUCUUGAGUUAUUGUGAAGUGGUUAGAAUAUGUAGUGUAGCGGUGAAAUGCUUAGAGAUUACAUGGAAUACCGAUUGCGAAGGCAGAUCACUAACAAUAUACUGACGCUGAUGGACGAAAGCGUGGGGAGCGAACAGGAUUAGAUACCCUGGUAGUCCACGCCGUAAACGAUGGAUACUAGCUGUUCGGACGUAAGUCUGAGUGGCUAAGCGAAAGUGAUA
This 822-nucleotide ribosomal RNA is filed under the name uncultured Pseudofulvibacter sp. Its description in RNAcentral is "bacterial SSU rRNA". It matches the Rfam family "Bacterial small subunit ribosomal RNA", at positions 38 to 862 of the family's 1533-position model. The record is from RNAcentral. Lineage: Bacteria; Pseudomonadati; Bacteroidota; Flavobacteriia; Flavobacteriales; Flavobacteriaceae.